GUGGGUAUAGCUCAGUGGUAGAGUGCCUGCUUAGCAUGCAUGAUGUCCUGUGUUCAAUCCCAAGUACUUUCA
Molecule: transfer RNA, 72 nt
Filed under: Camelus bactrianus (Bactrian camel)
Lineage: Eukaryota; Metazoa; Chordata; Mammalia; Artiodactyla; Camelidae
Also listed under: 2 other names
Rfam family: tRNA
About the family: Transfer RNA (tRNA) molecules are approximately 80 nucleotides in length.
Source: Rfam by way of RNAcentral